Nilaparvata lugens (brown planthopper) is the source of this 166-nucleotide small nuclear RNA. RefSeq annotates it as U1 spliceosomal RNA. NCBI's taxonomy places the organism in Eukaryota, Metazoa, Arthropoda, Insecta, Hemiptera, Delphacidae. The record is from RefSeq and is a predicted model, not a curated record. The transcript has a single exon.
AUACUUACCUGGCGUGGGGGUUACCGUGAUCAAGAAGGCGGUUCCGCCAGGGCGAGGCCUUGUCAUUGCUCUGCGACUUGGUUGACCCCUGCGAAUGCCCCAAAUGUGGGCAUCUCGGGCGCACAUAUUUUUUUUUAUUACGGUAUACAUCUUGUAAAUUCGGAAU